UGUUGGUUUCAGGUGUGCAGAGCGUGAUGGUGGAAGCCGCGCAGCUCAAGGUGACGGUGACGGGCACCAUGGACGUCGCCACGCUCGUCCAGAGGCUGCACAAGUCCGGCAAGAACGGGAUUGAAUCGAUGGGAGCAUUGAGGCAUCAAAUUAUGGAGCACCGUGCUUCUACAACCAGUCAACCUGAGUUCAGCUCUGGGAAUCGACGGAUCGCUGAUGCUGCUGCACAAGAACAGGUAGGUCAAGAUCCCCUUUCUAUGGGUUCCAAGUUCUAGGUAUUUAAUCUAGGAUUUACUAUGAUUUUUUUUCUCUGUCCAUGGAAUUCCCAUGCUUCUGAGGACUACGACGGCUCUCCCUAGGCAUCGAUUUGAACAAGGAUGCAUCGCUCGUGCUUAUUGGGGAUAGGAUGCGAUGCAGGCUUCUCUGUGAUUUCUUUUUCGUGGUGGAUGCAUCUUUCAUUCGAUUGGAAAGUUGUGAUUAGAUCCUCUUUUCCACUGUAGAUCAUCUGCUAGAUCUCUCUUCAAGCACACAAUACAAGUUGCAUAAUCGAUCUGUGAUCACAGAGGCCAGGCCUGGCAACGGCGGCAAGGUGCAGCAAGGGCCGUGUUCUGCACGGCAG
Panicum virgatum (switchgrass) is the source of this 619-nucleotide long non-coding RNA. RefSeq lists it as uncharacterized. The record is from RefSeq and is a predicted model, not a curated record. The transcript has 3 exons. NCBI's taxonomy places the organism in Eukaryota, Viridiplantae, Streptophyta, Magnoliopsida, Poales, Poaceae.